AUUGAACGCUGGCGGCAGGCCUAACACAUGCAAGUCGAACGGUAACAGGGAUCAGCUUGCUGAUUCGCUGACGAGUGGCGGACGGGUGAGUAAUGUCUGGGAAACUGCCUGAUGGAGGGGGAUAACUACUGGAAACGGUAGCUAAUACCGCAUAACGUCGCAAGACCAAAGAGGGGGACCUUCGGGCCCCUUGCCAUCGGAUGUGCCCAGAUGGGAUUAGCUAGUAGGUGGGGUAACGGCUCACCUAGGCGACGAUCCCGAGCUGGUCUGAGAGGAUGACCAGCCACACUGGAACUGAGACACGGUCCAGACUCCUACGGGAGGCAGCAGUGGGGAAUAUUGCACAAUGGGCGCAAGCCUGAUGCAGCCAUGCCGCGUGUAUGAAGAAGGCCUUCGGGUUGUAAAGUACUUUCAGCGGGGAGGAAGGGAGUAAAGUUAAUACCUUUGCUCAUUGACGUUACCCGCAGAAGAAGCACCGGCUAACUCCGUG
This 490-nucleotide ribosomal RNA is filed under the name uncultured bacterium. RNAcentral describes it as "partial 16S ribosomal RNA". It matches the Rfam family "Bacterial small subunit ribosomal RNA", at positions 30 to 507 of the family's 1533-position model. The record is from RNAcentral.